This 366-nucleotide ribosomal RNA is filed under the name Triticum aestivum (bread wheat). RNAcentral's name for it is "partial small subunit ribosomal RNA". The record is from RNAcentral. Lineage: Eukaryota; Viridiplantae; Streptophyta; Magnoliopsida; Poales; Poaceae.
AUGGCUUCAUCCGAUUCCACGACGAGGCCACGGUGCGCUGACCAAGAGGACAUGCCGAGCAAGUGGGAGGAGGCAAGGUUGGACAAGACAAAGGAGAAGGAUGUGAAAACCCCUUCAUGUUGGUGUGCAGAUGAGUGCAAGGUGAGGGUCUCCACUGACCGGAAGAAGUCGUGGACGGAAGGAAGAAGAUAUUUUGUGUGUCCCAACUAUGCACAUGAUCGCGUGCGUCCCACUAACGCCUAUGACAUCCCACCGGUAUGUCAGAAAAGUAGGCUAUUCUCCAUUAUGAUUCAUUUUAUAUUACUAACAAAAACUUGUUUUGUGUGUAGUCACCUCCUCCUCUUUGCAAGUACUUCACAUGGAUAG